AUUGAACGCUGGCGGCAUGCUUUACACAUGCAAGUCGAACGGUAACAGCACUUCGGUUGCUGACGAGUGGCGAACGGGUGAGUAAUACAUCGGAACGUGCCUAGUAGUGGGGGAUAACUACUCGAAAGAGUAGCUAAUACCGCAUGAGAUCUAAGGAUGAAAGCAGGGGACCUUCGGGCCUUGCUCUACUAGAGCGGCUGAUGGCAGAUUAGGUAGUUGGUGGGAUAAAAGCUUACCAAGCCGACGAUCUGUAGCUGGUCUGAGAGGACGACCAGCCACACGGGGACUGAGACACGGCCCAGACUACGACGGGAGGCAGCAGUGGGGAAUGUUGGACAAUGGGCGCAAGCCUGAUCCAGCAAUGCCGCGUGCAGGAUGAAGGCCUUCGGGUUGUAAACUGCUUGGGUAAGGAACGAAAAGCCCUCUUCUAAGACAGGAGGGUCAUGACGGUACCGUAAGAAUAAGCACCGGCUAACUACGUG
This 482-nucleotide ribosomal RNA is filed under the name uncultured bacterium. RNAcentral describes it as "partial 16S ribosomal RNA". It matches the Rfam family "Bacterial small subunit ribosomal RNA", at positions 30 to 507 of the family's 1533-position model. The record is from RNAcentral.